Molecule: ribosomal RNA, 746 nt
Filed under: Acinetobacter baumannii Naval-18
Lineage: Bacteria; Pseudomonadati; Pseudomonadota; Gammaproteobacteria; Moraxellales; Moraxellaceae
Description: bacterial SSU rRNA
Rfam family: Bacterial small subunit ribosomal RNA
Source: RNAcentral
GAACGCUGGCGGCAGGCUUAACACAUGCAAGUCGAGCGGGGGAAGGUAGCUUGCUACCGGACCUAGCGGCGGACGGGUGAGUAAUGCUUAGGAAUCUGCCUAUUAGUGGGGGACAACAUCUCGAAAGGGAUGCUAAUACCGCAUACGUCCUACGGGAGAAAGCAGGGGAUCUUCGGACCUUGCGCUAAUAGAUGAGCCUAAGUCGGAUUAGCUAGUUGGUGGGGUAAAGGCCUACCAAGGCGACGAUCUGUAGCGGGUCUGAGAGGAUGAUCCGCCACACUGGGACUGAGACACGGCCCAGACUCCUACGGGAGGCAGCAGUGGGGAAUAUUGGACAAUGGGGGGAACCCUGAUCCAGCCAUGCCGCGUGUGUGAAGAAGGCCUUAUGGUUGUAAAGCACUUUAAGCGAGGAGGAGGCUACUUUAGUUAAUACCUAGAGAUAGUGGACGUUACUCGCAGAAUAAGCACCGGCUAACUCUGUGCCAGCAGCCGCGGUAAUACAGAGGGUGCGAGCGUUAAUCGGAUUUACUGGGCGUAAAGCGUGCGUAGGCGGCUUAUUAAGUCGGAUGUGAAAUCCCCGAGCUUAACUUGGGAAUUGCAUUCGAUACUGGUGAGCUAGAGUAUGGGAGAGGAUGGUAGAAUUCCAGGUGUAGCGGUGAAAUGCGUAGAGAUCUGGAGGAAUACCGAUGGCGAAAGCAGCCAUCUGGCCUAAUACUGACGCUGAUGUACGAAAGCAUGGGGAGCAA